CAAUAGCGUAUAUUAAAGUUGUUGCAGUUAAAAAGCUCGUAGUUGGAUUUGUGGCGUACGGUGUGUUCCGGGCACUUGUUGUCUGAGUAACCUGCUGUUGCCAUCCUUGGGUGGAACCUGUGUGGCAUUAGGUUGUCGUGCAGGGGAUGCCCAUCAUUUACUGUGAAAAAAUUAGAGUGUUCAAAGCAGGCUUAUGCCGUUGAAUAUAUUAGCAUGGAAUAAUGAGAUAGGACUUUUUUGCUAUUCUGUUGGUUUGCGCAAAGAGGUAAUGAUUAAUAGGGACAGUUGGGGAUAUUCGUAUUCCAUUGUCAGAGGUGAAAUUCUUGGAUUUUUGGAAGACGAACUACUGCGAAAGCAUUUACCAAGGAUGUUUUCAUUAA
Molecule: ribosomal RNA, 380 nt
Filed under: uncultured eukaryote
Lineage: Eukaryota
Description: partial 18S ribosomal RNA
Rfam family: Eukaryotic small subunit ribosomal RNA
Source: RNAcentral